This 258-nucleotide ribosomal RNA is filed under the name uncultured bacterium. Its description in RNAcentral is "partial 16S ribosomal RNA". It matches the Rfam family "Bacterial small subunit ribosomal RNA", at positions 524 to 782 of the family's 1533-position model. The record is from RNAcentral.
GACGAACCGUGCAAACGUUGUUCGGAUUCACUGGGCUUAAAGGGCGCGUAGGCGGACGGUCAAGUCGGGGGUGAAAUCUUUCCGCUUAACGGGAAAGUGCCUCCGAUACUGAUCGUCUCGAGGGAGGUAGGGCAUGUGGAACUUCCGGUGGAGCGGUGAAAUUCGUAGAUAUUCGGAAGAACACCAGUGGCGAAGGCGACUCGCUGGACAAGUAUUGACGCUGAGGUGCGAAAGCGUGGGGAGCAAACAGGAGUUAGA